AUAGGCUAUCUAGGUGCAGUUAAGGCGAGACCGAUAAAGCACUUGAAAAACGCAAGCACAUAUACGUAAGAAUGAAAAGUGCGCGAAUAUUCAGCAUAAUGAGUAUAGGCAUUGAGGAUGGGUUAUUUCCUAUGAUCUAAGUAGUAGCUUCUAGAUUUAAUCUCAUACGUAAAUUUAACGUCACAAUGCGCGUUUGAAGCAACAUUUGUUAUAAAAAUGAUGACAGGUUUUGCGUCAGAGAUGCCAAUCGUGUGCUUGAUUACUAUACCAUAAGUAAAAUGUGUAAAAUUUAUUUUAUUAGGAGAAAUAGUUUGGUAUGCAAGAUUUGCAAGAUAGAUGAUGGUGAAGACUGGUUGGGAUGUGAUUCAGAACAUAUUACAAGCAAGCUCAAUAACAAAGAAUAAUGUGCUUCACAAAGCGCGUUUGCAGUAACAUUCGUUAUAAAAAAGACCGCAUAUUAUGUAAAAUCCAAAUGAACAUAUAAUACAAUGUGGGCGCUGUGCU
Xenia sp. Carnegie-2017 is the source of this 504-nucleotide long non-coding RNA. RefSeq lists it as uncharacterized. NCBI's taxonomy places the organism in Eukaryota, Metazoa, Cnidaria, Anthozoa, Malacalcyonacea, Xeniidae. The record is from RefSeq and is a predicted model, not a curated record. The transcript is spliced from 2 exons.